GGUUACUGCUAUCGGUGUUCGCCUAAGCCAUGCGAGUCAUAUGUUCGUAAGAACAUGGCGUACUGCUCAGUAACACGUGGAUAACCUGCCCUUGGGUCCGGCAUAACCCCGGGAAACUGGGGAUAAUUCCGGAUAACGCACAUAUGCUGGAAUGCUUUUUGCGUAAAAUGGAUUCGUCUGCCCAAGGAUGGGUCUGCGGCCUAUCAGGUAGUAGUGGGUGUAAUGUACCUACUAACCUACGACGGGUACGGGUUGUGAGAGCAAGAGCCCGGAGAUGGAUUCUGAGACAUGAAUCCAGGCCCUACGGGGCGCAGCAGGCGCGAAAACUUUACAAUGCGGGAAACCGUGAUAAGGGGACACCGAGUGCCAGCAUCCUAUGCUGGCUGUCCGGGUGUGUAAAAUACACCUGUUAGCAAGGGCCGGGCAAGACCGGUGCCAGCCGCCGCGGUAACACCGGCGGCCCGAGUGGUGAUCGUGAUUAUUGGGUCUAAAGGGUCCGUAGCCGGUUUGGUCAGUCCUCCGGGAAAUCUGAC
Molecule: ribosomal RNA, 533 nt
Filed under: uncultured archaeon
Lineage: Archaea
Description: bacterial SSU rRNA
Rfam family: Archaeal small subunit ribosomal RNA
Source: RNAcentral